UGAGGAAUAUUGGACAAUGGGCGCAAGCCUGAUCCAGCCAUGCCGCGUGCAGGAUGACGGUCCUAUGGAUUGUAAACUGCUUUUGUACAGGAAGAAACAGUUCUACGUGUAGAACCUUGACGGUACUGUAAGAAUAAGGAUCGGCUAACUCCGUGCCAGCAGCCGCGGUAAUACGGAGGAUCCAAGCGUUAUCCGGAAUCAUUGGGUUUAAAGGGUCCGUAGGCGGUUAGAUAAGUCAGUGGUGAAAGCCCAUCGCUCAACGGUGGAACGGCCAUUGAUACUGUCUGACUUGAAUUAUUAGGAAGUAACUAGAAUAUGUAGUGUAGCGGUGAAAUGCUUAGAGAUUACAUGGAAUACCAAUUGCGAAGGCAGGUUACUACUAAUGGAUUGACGCUGAUGGACGAAAGCCAGGGGAGCGAACGGGAUUAGAUACCCUCGUAGUCCCUGAGCGGGCUGGCAAGGCGCAU
RNAcentral lists this ribosomal RNA (467 nucleotides) under uncultured bacterium. RNAcentral's name for it is "bacterial SSU rRNA". It matches the Rfam family "Bacterial small subunit ribosomal RNA", at positions 355 to 825 of the family's 1533-position model. The record is from RNAcentral.